This 434-nucleotide ribosomal RNA is filed under the name uncultured bacterium. RNAcentral describes it as "bacterial SSU rRNA". It matches the Rfam family "Bacterial small subunit ribosomal RNA", at positions 340 to 786 of the family's 1533-position model. The record is from RNAcentral.
UACGGAAGGCAGCAGUGGGGAAUCUUGCACAAUGGGCGAAAGCCUGAUGCAGCAACGCCGCGUGCGGGAAGAAGGCCUUAGGGUUGUAAACCGCUUUCAGCAGGGAAGAAAAUGACGGUACCUGCAGAAGAAGGUGCGGCCAACUACGUGCCAGCAGCCGCGGUGACACGUAGGCACCAAGCGUUGUCCGGAUUUAUUGGGCGUAAAGAGCUCGUAGGCGGUUCAGUAAGUCGGGUGUGAAAACUCUGGGCUCAACCCCAGAGAGGCCACCCCGAUACUGCUGUGACUUGAGUACGGUAGGGGAGUGGGGAAUUCCUGGUGUAGCGGUGAAAUGCGCAGAUAUCAGGAGGAACACCAGUGGCGAAGGCGCCACUCUGGGCCGUAACUGACGCUGAGGGAGCGAAAGCGUGGGUAGCAAACAGGGAUUAGAUACC